UGGGAUUGGUAAACUAUGCCCUGGCUGAC
Molecule: non-coding RNA, 29 nt
Filed under: Homo sapiens (human)
Lineage: Eukaryota; Metazoa; Chordata; Mammalia; Primates; Hominidae
Source: RNAcentral